RNAcentral lists this ribosomal RNA (1402 nucleotides) under uncultured bacterium. Its description in RNAcentral is "bacterial SSU rRNA". It matches the Rfam family "Bacterial small subunit ribosomal RNA". The record is from RNAcentral.
GAAUUCGCCCUUAGAGUUUGCUUUUGGCUCAGGACGAACGCUGGCGGCGUGCCUAACACAUGCAAGUCGAGCGGAGCCAACCGACGGAGACCUUCGGGUCGAAGACGGGGAAGCUUAGCGGCGGACGGGUGAGUAACGCGUGAGUAACCUGCCCUUGAGAGGGGAAUAACACACCGAAAGGUGUGCUAAUACCGCAUGAUAUGCCAUUGUCGCAUGACGAUAGCAUCAAAGAUUUAUCGCUCAAGGAUGGACUCGCGUCUGAUUAGAUAGUAGGUAGGGUAACGGCCUACCUAGUCGACGAUCAGUAGCCGAACUGAGAGGUUGAUCGGCCACAUUGGGACUGAGACACGGCCCAGACUCCUACGGGAGGCAGCAGUGGGGAAUAUUGCGCAAUGGGGGGAACCCUGACGCAGCAACGCCGCGUGCAGGAAGAAGGUCUUCGGAUUGUAAACUGUUGUCGCAAGGGAAGAAGACAGUGACGGUACCUUGUGAGAAAGUCACGGCUAACUACGUGCCAGCAGCCGCGGUAAUACGUAGGUGACAAGCGUUGUCCGGAUUUACUGGGUGUAAAGGGCGUGUAGGCGGGAUAGCAAGUCAGUCGUGAAAUACCGAGGCUCAACCUCGGGGCUGCGAUUGAAACUGUUAUUCUUGAGUAUCGGAGAGGAAAGCGGAAUUCCCAGUGUAGCGGUGAAAUGCGUAGAGAUCGGUAGGAACACCAGUGGCGAAGGCGGCUUUCUGGACUGAAACUGACGCUGAGGCGCGAAAGCGUGGGGAGCAAACAGGAUUAGAUACCCUGGUAGUCCACGCGGUAAACGAUGAAUACUAGGUGUGGGAGGACUGACCCCUUCCGUGCCGCAGUUAACACAAUAAGUAUUCCACCUGGGGAGUGCGACCGCAAGGUUGAAACUCAAAGGAAUUGACGGGGGCCCGCACAAGCAGUGGAUUAUGUGGUUUAAUUUGACGCAACGCGAAGAACCUUACCAGGGUUUGACAUCCAACUAACGAAGUAGAGAUACAUUAGGUGCCCUUCGGGGAAAGUUGAGACAGGUGGUGCAUGGUUGUCGUCAGCUCGUGUCGUGAGAUGUUGGGUUAAGUCCCGCAACGAGCGCAACCCCUAUUGUUAGUUGCUACGCAAGAGCACUCUAGCGAGACUGCCGUUGACAAAACGGAGGAAGGCGGGGACGACGUCAAAUCAUCAUGCCCCUUAUGUCCUGGGCUACACACGUAAUACAAUGGUGGUUAACAGAGGGAAGCAAAACCGCGAGGUGGAGCAAAUCCCUAAAAGUCAUCUCAGUUCGGAUUACAGGCUGCAACUCGCCUGUAUGAAGCUGGAAUUGCUAGUAAUCGCGGAUCAGCAUGCCGCGGUGAAUACAAUCCCGGGCCUUGUACACACCGCCCGUCA